GUGUCAGCAGCCGCGGUAAUACGUAGGUUGCGAGCGUUAUUCGGAUUUACUGGGCGUAAAGCGCACCGAGGUGGCUUCUUUAGUUGGAUGUGAAAUCUCCCGGCUUAACUGGGAGGCGCUAUUCAAUACUGGGAAGCUUGAGACCAGCAGGGGAAAGUGGAAUUCCCGGUGUAGUGGUGGAAUGCGUAGAGAUCGGGAGGAACACCAGUGGCGAAAGCGACUUUCUGGGCUGCGUCUGACACUCUAGUGCGAAAGCGUGGGGAGCAAACAGGAUUAGAUACCCGGGUAGUCC
This 292-nucleotide ribosomal RNA is filed under the name uncultured bacterium. Its description in RNAcentral is "partial 16S ribosomal RNA". It matches the Rfam family "Bacterial small subunit ribosomal RNA", at positions 505 to 796 of the family's 1533-position model. The record is from RNAcentral.